Long non-coding RNA from Varanus komodoensis (Komodo dragon), 1117 nucleotides. RefSeq lists it as uncharacterized. The transcript has 3 exons. The record is from RefSeq and is a predicted model, not a curated record. Lineage: Eukaryota; Metazoa; Chordata; Lepidosauria; Squamata; Varanidae.
UCCCAUCCCCUUUCCUCCCUGCAAGUGCCUUCCAAGGCGGCUCCAGUGGGGAGAGGAGGUUGUAUGUGGGAAGCCUUUUUCUCACCAGUAAUCCUUGACAUUGAUCCCUUUUUUAGUAGUAUGAACUAUUACGUAACACACUUCUAGUAUGAUGAAUAUUUUCUGUACUGGAGAGAGAAUAAGCUGAGCAAUUCUUGUGGCUUGCACUUUUGUGGCGGUCCCAGUCGUUUUUGGGAGGAACCCCGGGAAGGGGCAAAAUGGAUAGAGGGGAGCAAACACUCACACGCGUGUCAUUCUCUUGAAAAAGAGUUGGAAUGGCCAGUUUUAAACAGAUGCUGUUGUUCUGAUCAGAGUCCACAUUGGAAAGCUGACUUGGCAUUCCCUCUUUAUGACACUUUUAGCCUUCGUAUAGAUCGGAUCUUCCUUUGGUCAGCGUGCCUGAGGGACCCACGCCGUCAAAAUCUUCUGUUUGCCAUCUCAAGGACUGUCGCUGAGAGAUAAUUUCCGGUGCGAACUUUCUGGCUAUGGAAGAGAACGCAGGGUAGACGGUCCGCCUCAGAGGGCCCCGGGAAGGGUCUCGCAUGAAGGCCACGUCUCUUCUUUGCAGCUGGGGUUGACUGCUCCAGGGUCCCGAAGACACCGACCGGGCACUUGAUCUCCCAGAACGUUCAUCAGAGAAAUGACGAGCAUCAGACCGUGAUCGACGACGUGUUCUCUGCUGGAGAUGGAGAGCGGCAGACAGACCGAUUCACGCAAAGGAGAUGCUGGCAGUCCCGUCAUUCGUGAGGCCGAUGCCAGGAAGGAGCUGCGUGGGACCGUCAGCGGGGCGCUAGCUGUGCCGAGAAGGAGAAACCCGCAGUCUAAACGGGGGACCCACGGGUCGCAUCGCACCUGAAUGGAGUCCGAGACAGGACCCACCGCCCUCCUGGAUGAACGCAGGGACUUCCUUUGCAGCCUGCUGAGCGACUCGUUGAAAGCGAGCAAAUGAACGUCACUGUGUGAAGCCUGCUCUGGAGCUGAUUUUUCCUCGGCGGUUAUUUUUGCAGCUUCUCGUGUCAUUUUGCCUGAGGCAGAAAUCUUCAGCCCUCGCUGAAAUAAACCUUGUCCCACUGAAAAA